GAUGAACGCUAGCGGCAGGCCUAAUACAUGCAAGUCGAACGGAUGUCAGCAAUGGCAUUAGUGGCGCACGGGUGCGUAACGCGUAACCAACCUACCCUUGACUGGGGGAUAGCCCGCCGAAAGGCGGAUUAAUACCGCAUAAACCAACAGAACGGCAUCGUUUAAUUGGUAAAGAUUUAUUGGUCAAGGAUGGGGUUGCGUAGCAUUAGCUAGAUGGCGAGGUAACGGCUCACCAUGGCGACGAUGCUUAGGGGAGCUGAGAGGCUGAUCCCCCACACUGGCACUGAGAUACGGGCCAGACUCCUACGGGAGGCAGCAGUAGGGAAUAUUGGGCAAUGGGCGAGAGCCUGACCCAGCCAUGCCGCGUGCCGGAUGAAGGCCUUCUGGGUUGUAAACGGCUUUUCUCAGGGAAGAAAAAGGGGAUGCGUCCUCAACUGACGGUACCUGAGGAAUAAGCACCGGCUAACUCC
This 470-nucleotide ribosomal RNA is filed under the name uncultured Bacteroidota bacterium. RNAcentral's name for it is "bacterial SSU rRNA". It matches the Rfam family "Bacterial small subunit ribosomal RNA", at positions 28 to 504 of the family's 1533-position model. Lineage: Bacteria; Pseudomonadati; Bacteroidota. The record is from RNAcentral.